AUAUGCUUUCGAGGAAAUGGAUUUAUCCGCCUAGAGAGAGGCUUGCGGCUGAUUCCUUUUGUUGGUGAGGUAAUGGAUCACCAAGGCGACGAUCAGUAUCUGUUUUGAGAGGACGAUCAGACACACUGGUAAUGAGACACGGUCCAGACUCCUACUGGAGGCAGCAGUGCGAAAUUUUCCGCAAUGGGCGAAAGCCUGACGUAGCAAAACCGCGUGAGGGAUGACGGCCUAUGGCUUGCAAACCUCGAUUGUCAAGGAAGAAUCAAUGACGUGUACCUGAUUUAAUAAACAACGGCUAACUCCUUGCCAGCUACCCCGGUAGACUGAGGAUGCACUUGUUAUCCAAAAUCACUGGGCGUAAAAACGUCUGUAGGUGGUCAAAUAAGCCAACUGAUAAAUCUUGAUCCUCACCCUCAAAACGUCACUCUAAUCUAUCAAACUACACUAUAGAAUGGGUAAACGAAAUUUCCAGUGCAACGGUGGAAUGUGUCAAGUCGAAAGGACACCAUGGCCUCGGCCCUUCCCUGCGCUAUCCCCACACUCACAGACGAAACUUGGGAAAUCAAAUGGGAAUCGAGCCCCAGUACUCCUAUCUGUACACGAAGGAUACUAAAUGUUAGAAAGGUCUACCUGUGCAAAAUCAAAGGUAACG
This 652-nucleotide ribosomal RNA is filed under the name uncultured bacterium. Its description in RNAcentral is "bacterial SSU rRNA". It matches the Rfam family "Bacterial small subunit ribosomal RNA", at positions 188 to 857 of the family's 1533-position model. The record is from RNAcentral.